CAGUAGCCGCGGGAAUACGUAGGGUGCAAGCGUUAAUCGGAAUUACUGGGCGUAAAGCGUGCGCAGGCGGUUAUAUAAGUCAGAUGUGAAAUCCCCGGGCUCAACCUGGGAACUGCAUUUGAGACUGUAUGGCUAGAGUGUGUCAGAGGGGGGUAGAAUUCCACGUGUAGCAGUGAAAUGCGUAGAUAUGUGGAGGAAUACCGAUGGCGAAGGCAGCCCCCUGGGAUAACACUGACGCUCAUGCACGAAAGCGUGGGGAGCGAACAGGAUUAGAUACCCGGGUAGUCCCUGUCUCUUAUAC
This 301-nucleotide ribosomal RNA is filed under the name uncultured bacterium. Its description in RNAcentral is "partial 16S ribosomal RNA". It matches the Rfam family "Bacterial small subunit ribosomal RNA", at positions 509 to 807 of the family's 1533-position model. The record is from RNAcentral.